GUAGUCAUGACAGACAGAAGACAUCUAAUUUGAGAAGCUAAACAGCCCUGGACCUGGCUGACACUUGGAUGGAAAGCUGCCUGGGGAUACCAGGUGCUGUAGAUU
RNAcentral lists this ribosomal RNA (105 nucleotides) under Crocodylus porosus (Australian saltwater crocodile). The record is from RNAcentral. Lineage: Eukaryota; Metazoa; Chordata; Crocodylia; Crocodylidae.